AAUAUUGGACAAUGUGGGCAACCCUGAUCCAGCCAUGCCGCGUGUGUGAAGAAGGUCUUCGGAUUGUAAAGCACUUUAAGUUGGGAGGAAGGGCUUUAGGUUAAUACCCAGAAGUUUUGACGUUACCAACCGACUAAGCACCGACUAACUCUUUCCCAGCAGCCGCGGUAAUACAGAGGGUGCAAGCGUUAAUCGGAAUCACUGGCCGUAAAGCGCGCGUAGGUGGUUCAGUAAGAUGGGUGUGAACUCCCCGGGCUUAACCUGGGAACUGCUUUCAUAACUGCUGAGCUAGAGUACGGUAGAGGGUAGUGGAAUUUCCUGUGUAGCGGUGAAAUGCGUAGAUAUAGGAAGGAACACCAGUGGCGAAGGCGACUACCUGGACUGAUACUGACACUGAGGUGCGAAAGCGUGGGGAGCAAAC
This 421-nucleotide ribosomal RNA is filed under the name uncultured bacterium. RNAcentral describes it as "partial 16S ribosomal RNA". It matches the Rfam family "Bacterial small subunit ribosomal RNA", at positions 360 to 773 of the family's 1533-position model. The record is from RNAcentral.